This 1203-nucleotide ribosomal RNA is filed under the name uncultured marine bacterium. RNAcentral describes it as "bacterial SSU rRNA". It matches the Rfam family "Bacterial small subunit ribosomal RNA", at positions 283 to 1513 of the family's 1533-position model. The record is from RNAcentral.
AUAGCUGAUUUGAGAGGAUGAUCAGCCACAUUGGGACUGAGACACGGCCCAAACUCCUACGGGAGGCAGCAGUGGGGAAUCUUGCACAAUGGAGGAAACUCUGAUGCAGCGAUGCCGCGUGAGUGAAGAAGGCCUUUGGGUUGUAAAGCUCUUUCGUCGGGGAAGAAAAUGACUGUACCCGAAUAAGAAGGUCCGGCUAACUUCGUGCCAGCAGCCGCGGUAAUACGAAGGGACCUAGCGUAGUUCGGAAUUACUGGGCUUAAAGAGUUCGUAGGUGGUUGAAAAAGUUGGUGGUGAAAUCCCAGAGCUUAACUCUGGAACUGCCAUCAAAACUUUUCAGCUAGAGUAUGAUAGAGGAAAGCAGAAUUUCUAGUGUAGAGGUGAAAUUCGUAGAUAUUAGAAAGAAUACCAAUUGCGAAGGCAGCUUUCUGGAUCAUUACUGACACUGAGGAACGAAAGCAUGGGUAGCGAAGAGGAUUAGAUACCCUCGUAGUCCAUGCCGUAAACGAUGUGUGUUAGACGUUGGAAAUUUAUUUUCAGUGUCGCAGGGAAACCGAUAAACACACCGCCUGGGGAGUACGACCGCAAGGUUAAAACUCAAAUGAAUUGACGGGGACCCGCACAAGUAGUGGAGCAUGUGGUUUAAUUCGAAGAUACGCGCAGAACCUUACCAACACUUGACAUGUUCGUCGCGACUCUAAGAGAUUAGAGUUUUCGGUUCGGCCGGACGAAACGCAGGUGCUGCAUGGCUGUCGUCAGCUCGUGUCGUGAGAUGUUGGGUUAAGUCCCGCAACGAGCGCAACCCUCACUUUUAGUUGCCAUCAUUAAGUUGGGCACUCUGAAAGAACUGCCAGUGAUAAGCUGGAGGAAGGGUGGGGGAUGACGUCAAGUCCUCAUGGCCCUUACGUGUUGGGCUACACACGUGCUACAAUGGCAUCUACAACAGGAAGCAAAACGGCAACGUUAAGCAAAUCCCGAAAAGAUGCCUCAGUUCGGAUUGCACUCUGCAACUCGAGUGCAUGAAGCUGGAAUUACUAGUAAUCGUGGAUCAGCGUGCCACGGUGAAUGCGUUCCCGGGUCUUGUACACACCGCCCGUCACACCAUGGGAGUUGGUUCUACCUUAAGGCAAGGUUUUAAACCCUUGACCACGGUAUAGUCAGCGACUGGGGUGAAGUCGUAACAAGGUAGCCGUAGGGGAACCU